RNAcentral lists this ribosomal RNA (486 nucleotides) under uncultured bacterium. RNAcentral describes it as "partial 16S ribosomal RNA". It matches the Rfam family "Bacterial small subunit ribosomal RNA", at positions 30 to 507 of the family's 1533-position model. The record is from RNAcentral.
AUUGAACGCUGGCGGCAUGCCUUACACAUGCAAGUCGAACGGCAGCACGGGUUCUUGCACCUGGUGGCGAGUGGCGAACGGGUGAGUAAUACAUCGGAACAUGUCCUGUAGUGGGGGAUAGCCCGACGAAAGCCGGAUUACUACCGCAUACGAUCUACUGAUGAAAGCGUGGGACCUUCGGGCCUCGCGCUAUAGGGUUGGCCGAUGGCUGAUUAGCUAGUUGGUGGGGUCAAGGCCUACCAAGGCGACGAUCAGUAGCUGGUCUGAGAGGACGACCAGCCAGACUGGGACUGAGAAACGGCACAGACUCCUACGGGAGGAAGCAGUGGGGAAUUUUGGACAAUGGGCGAAAGCCUGAUACAGCAAUGUCGCGUGUGUGAAGAAGGACUUCGGGUUGUAAAGCAAUUUUGUCCGGAAAGAAAUCCUUGGCCCUAAUACGGUCGGGGGAUGACGGUACCGGAAGAAUAAGCACCGGCUAACUACGUG